AUCAACGCUGGCGGCGUGCAUGAGACAUGCAAGUCGAACGGACGGUCGAGGCUUGCCUGGACCGUUAGUGGCGGACGGCUGAGUAACGCGUGGGUGACCUGCCCCGGAGUGGGGAAUAACUGCCCGAAAGGGUGGCUAAUACCGCAUGUGCCGGUACGUUCAUUCGUGCCAGCAAAGCCGCAAGGCGCUUCGGGAGGGGCCUGCGUCCGAUUAGCUCGUUGGUGGGGUAACGGCUCACCAAGGCGACGAUCGGUAGGUGGUCUGAGAGGACGAUCACCCAGACUGGGACUGAGACACGGCCCAGACUCCUACGGGAGGCAGCAGUCGGGAAUUUUGCGCAAUGGACGAAAGUCUGACGCAGCAACGCCGCGUGAGGGAUGAAGGCCUUCGGGUUAUAAACCUCUUUUCUCAGGGAAGAUAAUGACGGUACCUGAGGAAUAAGCCACGGCUAACUACGU
This 458-nucleotide ribosomal RNA is filed under the name uncultured bacterium. Its description in RNAcentral is "bacterial SSU rRNA". It matches the Rfam family "Bacterial small subunit ribosomal RNA", at positions 32 to 506 of the family's 1533-position model. The record is from RNAcentral.